This 73-nucleotide transfer RNA is filed under the name Phialocephala subalpina. Its description in RNAcentral is "tRNA-His". It matches the Rfam family "tRNA". From Rfam's summary of the family: Transfer RNA (tRNA) molecules are approximately 80 nucleotides in length. Their secondary structure includes four short double-helical elements and three loops (D, anti-codon, and T loops). Lineage: Eukaryota; Fungi; Ascomycota; Leotiomycetes; Helotiales; Mollisiaceae. The record is from RNAcentral.
GUGGGUAUAGUUCAAUCGGUAGAGCGCCUGUAUGUGGCACAGUAUGUUCCCUGUUCGAAUCAGGGUACUCACC